UACAGAGGUCUCAAGCGUUGUUCGGAUUCAUUGGGCGUAAAGGGUGCGUAGGCGGCGCGGUAAGUCGGGUGUGAAAUCUCGGAGCUUAACUCCGAAACUGCAUUCGAUACUGCGUGGCUUGAGUACUGGAGAGGUUGGUGGAAUUCUCGGUGUAGAGGUGAAAUUCGUAGAUAUCGAGAGGAACACCGGUGGCGAAGGCGGCCAACUGGACAGAUACUGACGCUGAGACACGAAAGCGUGGGGAGCAAACAGG
This 253-nucleotide ribosomal RNA is filed under the name uncultured bacterium. RNAcentral describes it as "partial 16S ribosomal RNA". It matches the Rfam family "Bacterial small subunit ribosomal RNA", at positions 524 to 776 of the family's 1533-position model. The record is from RNAcentral.